Molecule: ribosomal RNA, 293 nt
Filed under: uncultured bacterium
Lineage: Bacteria
Description: partial 16S ribosomal RNA
Source: RNAcentral
GGACUACCAGGGUUUCUAAUCCUGUUUGCUCCCCUUGCUCUCGCGCCUCAGCGUCAGGUCAUAGCUAGAAAACCGCUUUCGCCACAGGUGUUCUUCCACAUAUCUACGCAUUUCACCGCUACACGUGGAAUUCCGUUUCCUCCGCCAUCCCUCUAGACUUAUAGUUUCAAAUGCCGCUCCGAAAUUGAGCUAUCGGAAUUUCACAUCUGACUUAUAUAUCCGCCUACGCGCCCUUUACGCCCAAUAAUUCCGAUUAAUGCUUGCACCCUCCGUAUUACCGCGGCGGCUGGCAC